This 80-nucleotide transfer RNA is filed under the name Arthonia quintaria. Its description in RNAcentral is "tRNA-Ser". Lineage: Eukaryota; Fungi; Ascomycota; Arthoniomycetes; Arthoniales; Arthoniaceae. The record is from RNAcentral.
GGAAGAGUCGCUACAGGAAAGGCAAAAUAUUUGCUAAAUAUUGUGUAAAACACCAAGAUGUUCGAAUCAUCUCUUUUCCG